Solanum stenotomum is the source of this 525-nucleotide long non-coding RNA. RefSeq lists it as uncharacterized. The record is from RefSeq and is a predicted model, not a curated record. The transcript has 3 exons. Lineage: Eukaryota; Viridiplantae; Streptophyta; Magnoliopsida; Solanales; Solanaceae.
UUAUGGAAUAUGCUUGGUUGGUAGAAGGUAAUGGCUUCAUCAUCAGAAUGUGGCACCUAACUGCGCAGUAAACUUCAUUGAGCCCCAUCAAAAAUUGGAUCAGCUUCAUGUCUUCAUUCAUUUUUUGAUUAUGGGUCUUUGCUCCACACUUGCACUCACAAGAGCAUGUCAUAAAACUGAAAAAGUUUGGAACCAUCAGGCUGUCCAUAUCUCUCCUCUAGCUCAGACCACAAAUCCACAGCAGUCUGAGAGUAUAUGACACUCUCAGAAAUGUCCUUGCUUAGAGAGUUGAGUAGCCAAGCAAUCACCAUGUCAUUACACCUCUUCCAUUGUCUAAAUAGAGGUGAGCUUUCACUAGGAAUCUCAACUUUUCCAUUUAUGAAAUCAAGUUUGUUCUUAGCUGAAAGAGAAAUCAAAACUCCCCUUUUCCAGUUCCUAUAACUAGAUCCAUCAAAAGUCACAUUAAUGAGGUUCAUUCCAGGUGAAUCUGAAGAUGAGAGAUAAUAGGGAUGGGUCAAGUCUACU